Molecule: unclassified non-coding RNA, 332 nt
Filed under: soil metagenome
Description: partial contains 5.8S ribosomal RNA, internal transcribed spacer 2, and large subunit ribosomal RNA
Rfam family: 5.8S ribosomal RNA (bases 1-120)
Source: RNAcentral
GAUGAAGAACGCAGUGAAAUGCGACAAGUAAUGUGAAUUGCAGAAUUCCGUGAAUCAUCGAAUCUUUGAACGCACAUUGCGCCCGCCAGUAUUCUGGCGGGCAUGCCUGUCCGAGCGUCAUUUCAACCAUCAAGCCCCGGGCUUGUGUUGGGGACCUGCGUCCGACGCAGGCCCUGAAAACCAGUGGCGGGCUCGCUGUCCACACCGAGCGUAGUAACUAACCUCGCUAUGGAGUGGCGCGGGCGCCUGCCGUAAAACCCCCAAUUUCACAAGGUUGACCUCGGAUCAGGUAGGAAUACCCGCUGAACUUAAGCAUAUCAAUAAGCGGAGGA